This 253-nucleotide ribosomal RNA is filed under the name uncultured bacterium. RNAcentral's name for it is "partial 16S ribosomal RNA". It matches the Rfam family "Bacterial small subunit ribosomal RNA", at positions 524 to 776 of the family's 1533-position model. The record is from RNAcentral.
UACGUAGGGCGCAAGCGUUGUCCGGAAUUAUUGGGCGUAAAGAGCUCGUAGGCGGCUUGUCACGUCGGGUGUGAAAGCCCGGGGCUUAACCCCGGGUCUGCAUUCGAUACGGGCUAGCUAGAGUGUGGUAGGGGAGAUCGGAAUUCCUGGUGUAGCGGCGAAAUGCGCAGAUAUCAGGAGGAACACCGGUGGCGAAGGCGGAUCUCUGGGCCUUACCUGACGCUGAGGCGCGAAAGCUAGGGGAGCGAACAGG